AACGAACGCUGGCGGCAUGCCUAACACAUGCCAGUCGAACGAGACCUUCGGGUCUAGUGGCGCACGGGUGCGUAACGCGUGGGAACCUGCCCUUAGGUUCGGAAUAACUCCCCGAAAGGGGUGCUAAUAACGGAUAAUGUCUUCGGACCAAAGAUUUAUCGCCUUUGGAUGGGCCCGCGUUGGAUUAGCUAGUUGGUAGGGUAAAAGCCUACCAAGGCGACGAUCCAUAGCUGGUCUGAGAGGAUGAUCAGCCACACUGGGACUGAGGCACGGCCCAGACUCCUACGGGAGGCAGCAGUGGGGAAUAUUGGACAAUGGGCGAAAGCCUGAUCCAGCAAUGCCGCGUGAGUGAUGAAGGCCUUAGGGUUGUAAAGCUCUUUUACCCGGGAUGAUAAUGACAGUACCGGGAGAAUAAGCGCCGGCUAACUCCGUG
RNAcentral lists this ribosomal RNA (433 nucleotides) under uncultured bacterium. Its description in RNAcentral is "partial 16S ribosomal RNA". It matches the Rfam family "Bacterial small subunit ribosomal RNA", at positions 29 to 507 of the family's 1533-position model. The record is from RNAcentral.